CCAACGUGGAGGUGCAUAGUGCACUACCGGUAUAUCUUUCUUAAAUUGGCUUUAAAAGUGAUUAGUUGUCAUUAUAAUUAUCAUUAAAAAAGCAAAUUAAUUUCAAAUAAGCAGAAAAUGAAAAAGACAUUGAAAAAACCGUUGAAACAGUGAGAACAAUUAAUCAAUACACCGGCAGCCUGAAAUUAGAAGAGCAUUCCUGCCAACUUCUACGGAUCGAAGUCUAUGGAUCGGAACAGGAUCAAGAUGGUCGGUCAUAUCUUGUUUAAACAUUCUUCAUUAUCGUUCCGUCCGUUUAAUAAAUAAAAAAGUAACUCGUCAUAAAUAGAACACGAAACGACGUCGACGAACAAGAUGCCUCGACCCUCCUGCGCAAAUAGAUAGCCAAGUGAACGAAGCAGCGAGACCCGAAAUGAACAACGAAGACCAAAGAUGAUCAUGAUCUAAUGGCCUUGGUAUUCCGUGCGCGAGGGAGAGGACGCUCACUCAGGACGCUUCUUCUUAUGGCUGAAGUUGCGGAACUCAUCGCGAUGAAAUUCCACUUCGAGCAGCCACACGUGACGGGAAUUCAUAGCAUCGAUAUGGCCGAAGUGCGGACGCAAGAGGCGAUAAGAAGAAUUGCUCGCCGUCAAUAUGAUCAACAUGGAAGUCUUCAUGGAGCGAUGCUGUUACUGAUGUGGAUAUUUCAUAUGGCCCUGGAAUUGCCGACUAAAAAUGGAUCGUUUAGGCGGGAUAGUGUCCACCGCAAAACCUUUCUCUCAACCUCGACGUGUGCCGACGCCCAUAUUUUUCUUCCAUUGCAAUUUUCUAAUGAUAUAUAUAUAUAUAUUUUUUUUUUAUUAUCGUAUUAUAAUCAUAUCGUAAGUCUAUCAUAAGAUCAUAUCAUAAGUCUAUCAUAAGAUCAUAUCAUAAGUCUAUUCGUAAUCAUAUCAUCAUAUCAUAUCAUCAUAUCAUAAGUCUGUUCAUAAUCAUAUCAUCAUAUUAUAAGUCUAUCAUAAUAACAUUAUAUCAUAAGCCUAUCAUAAGCCUAUCAUAAGCCUAUCAUAAGCAUAUCAUAAGCUUAUAAUCAUUACAAAAUUUUAUGUAAUUUCUGCUACCUGUUUAGCAGGAAUAAAAUGUCAAAAUAUCACUUA
Harpegnathos saltator (Jerdon's jumping ant) is the source of this 1133-nucleotide long non-coding RNA. RefSeq lists it as uncharacterized. The record is from RefSeq and is a predicted model, not a curated record. Lineage: Eukaryota; Metazoa; Arthropoda; Insecta; Hymenoptera; Formicidae. The transcript is spliced from 4 exons.